GAUGGGUCGUUGCUGGUUCUCUAGGGAGCAUGUGCACACCUUGUCAUCUUUAUAUCUCCACCUGUGCACCAAUUGUAGACCUUUCAGGUCUAUGUUGCUUCAUUUACCCCAAUGUAUGUUAAUAGAAUGUUGUGCCUAUAUAAUAUAUACAACUUUCAGCAACGGAUCUCUUGGCUCUCGCAUCGAUGAAGAACGCAGCGAAAUGCGAUAAGUAAUGUGAAUUGCAGAAUUCAGUGAAUCAUCGAAUCUUUGAACGCACCUUGCGCUCCUUGGUAUUCCGAGGAGCAUGCCUGUUUGAGUGUCAUUAAUAUAUCAACCUUCUCUUUUUGAGUGGUUUGGAUGUGGGGGUUUGCUGGCCUCUUAAAAGGUCUUGGCUCUCCUGAAAUACAUUAGCAGAACAACCCUGUUCAUUGGUGUGAUAACUAUCUACGCUAUUGAAUGUGAAGGGCAGUUUGGCUUUCUAACAGUCCUUGGACAAGCUCAUCAUUAAUGUGACCUCAAAUCAGGUAGGACUACCCGCUGAACUUAAGCAUAUCAAUAAGCGGAGGAAAAGAAACUAACAAGGAUUCCCCUAGUAACUGCGAGUGAAGCGGGAAAAGCUCAAAUUUAAAAUCUGGCGGUC
RNAcentral lists this ribosomal RNA (622 nucleotides) under uncultured fungus. RNAcentral describes it as "eukaryotic LSU rRNA". The stretch from base 151 to 304 matches the Rfam family "5.8S ribosomal RNA". Lineage: Eukaryota; Fungi. The record is from RNAcentral.